This 96-nucleotide ribosomal RNA is filed under the name Staphylococcus aureus. Lineage: Bacteria; Bacillati; Bacillota; Bacilli; Caryophanales; Staphylococcaceae. The record is from RNAcentral.
UGGUGACUAUAGCAAGGAGGUCACACCUGUUCCCAUGCCGAACACAGAAGUUAAGCUCCUUAGCGUCGAUGGUAGUCGAACCGAACCCGUCAUUCU